CUGUGCGGCUGCCUCCUGGCUGUGAGCAUUCCCGGCCGUCCUCCCUCCCGUGAUGUACACCCAGUUGCCUCUAAUCCGCUACUGCGAUGAACAUCUUUGUGCCUGUCCCCUUGUGAACCUGGACUCCAGUUUCUCUGGGAUGCAUCCCUGGAAUGGAUUACUGGAUCAUAUUCACUUCUAGUACUACCUGACAAGUUAAUGACAUGGGGUUUCUGACUGUGAGGAAGGUCAAGGAGGAAAAUACGAUGAGUAAGGAAGAUAAUGAAUAGAAUUAGUGGAACUUUAGCAGUAAUAAAAACAGUGAAA
Molecule: long non-coding RNA, 306 nt
Organism: Prionailurus viverrinus (fishing cat)
Lineage: Eukaryota; Metazoa; Chordata; Mammalia; Carnivora; Felidae
Exons: 3
Source: RefSeq, a predicted model, not a curated record